This 806-nucleotide long non-coding RNA is filed under the name Mytilus galloprovincialis (Mediterranean mussel). The record is from RNAcentral. Lineage: Eukaryota; Metazoa; Mollusca; Bivalvia; Mytilida; Mytilidae.
GUUGUAAUUGAGAUUAAUGUGUCUAAAAGACUUUUUCACAAUUAUUAUGUUUCCUUGUUAUGUCUGUUUUUGGAUAAGGGGGUGGUGUAAAUUCAAAUCUUACAGCUAAACUAAAAAUGGUGCUCUCUAGUUUUUGUGAGUAGGGAAUGGGGAUAAAAUAAUUCUUCCUGUUGAACUUUAAGGGUGCUCUAAGGGCUUUGUUUUGAGUAGGGGUGGGGAUAGUAUUACUCUUUCCACUGAAUUGAUAGGUGCCCUUAUGGCUAAUUUUCCAUUUUCUUUGGAUUAGGGGGUGGGGAUAGUAUUGCUCUUUCCACUGAAUUGAUAGGUGCGCUAAUGGCUAAUUUUCCAUUUUCUUUGGAGUAGGGGGUGGGAAUAGUAUAACUCUUUCCUCUGAAUUGGUAGGUGCUCUAAUGGCUUAUUUUCCAUUUUCUUUGGAGUAGGGAGUGGGGAUAGUAUUACUCUUUCCACUGAAUUGAUAGGUGUUCUAAUAGCUAAUUUUCCAUUUUCUUUGGAGUAGGGGUGGGGAUAGUAUUCUUCUUGCCACUAAACUGAUAAGUGCUCUAAUGGCUAAUUUUCCAUUUUCUUUGGAGUAGGGGGUGGGGAUAGUAUAACUCUUUCCUCUGAAUUGGUAGGUGCUCUAAUGGCUUAUUUUCCAUUUUCUUUGGAGUAGGGGUUGGGGAUAGUAUUACUCUUUCCACUGAAUUGAUAGGUGUUCUAAUGGCUUAUUUUCCAUUUUCUUUGGAGUAGGGGGUGGGGAUAGUAUUACUCUUUCCACUGAAUUGGUAGGUGUUCUAAUGGCUUAUUUU